RNAcentral lists this small nucleolar RNA (107 nucleotides) under Helianthus annuus (common sunflower). Its description in RNAcentral is "Plant small nucleolar RNA R71". It matches the Rfam family "Plant small nucleolar RNA R71". From Rfam's summary of the family: R71 is a member of the C/D box family of snoRNAs containing the C (UGAUGA) and D (CUGA) box motifs. Lineage: Eukaryota; Viridiplantae; Streptophyta; Magnoliopsida; Asterales; Asteraceae. The record is from RNAcentral.
AGACCGUGAUGUGGGCAUUUCCUUAAUAGCUCCUUGAAUCUUUCCCAAGUGUCAUACAAUGAUUCCCCGUCUUCUUGAGAGUUGGUGUUAAUCUCGGUCAUGAGUUU